This 379-nucleotide ribosomal RNA is filed under the name uncultured eukaryote. RNAcentral describes it as "partial 18S ribosomal RNA". It matches the Rfam family "Eukaryotic small subunit ribosomal RNA", at positions 592 to 976 of the family's 1831-position model. The record is from RNAcentral.
CAAUAGCGUAUAUUAAAGUUGUUGCGGUUAAAAAGCUCGUAGUUGGAUUUCUGCUGAGAACGACCGGUCCGCCCUCUGGGUGUGUAUCUGGCUCUUUCUUGGCAUCUUCUUGGUGAACGUUGCUGCACUUGACUGUGUGGAGCGCUACCCAGGACUUUUACUUUGAGGAAAUUAGAGUGUUCAAAGCAGGCCGUACGCUUGAAUACAUUAGCAUGGAAUAAUGGAAUAGGACGUCGGGCCUAUUUUGUUGGUUCUAGGACCGUCGUAAUGAUUAAUAGGGACAGUUGGGGCCGUUUAUAUUCCGUAGUCAGAGGUGAAAUUCUUGGAUUUACGGAAGAUAAACUACUGCGAAAGCAUUCGGCAAGGAUGUUUUCGUUAA